GACGAACGCUGGCGGCGUGCUUAACACAUGCAAGUCGAACGAUGAAGAAGAGAAACGCGCACUUCGGUUCAAAUUUCACUUCGGAUUAGUGGCAGACGGGUGAGUAACGCGUGAGCAACCUACCUCUUACAAAGGGAUAGCCUCGGGAAACCGUGAUUAAUACCAUAUGACACAUUCAUAAGGCAUCUUAAGAAUGUUAAAGCUACGGCGGUAAGAGAUGGGCUCGCGUCCCAUUAGCUAGUUGGUGAGGUAACGGCCCACCAAGGCGACGAUGGGUAACCGGCCUGAGAGGGUGAACGGUCACAGUGGAACUGAGACACCGUCCAAACUCCUACGGGAGGCAGCAGUGGUGAAUAUUGCACAAUGGAGGGAACUCUGAUGCAGCGACGCCGCGUGAGCGAUGAAGGAAUUCGUUUCGUAAAGCUCUGUUCUAUGGGAAGAAAAGGACUGUACCAUAGGAGAAAGCCCCGGCUAAAUACGUG
RNAcentral lists this ribosomal RNA (482 nucleotides) under uncultured bacterium. Its description in RNAcentral is "partial 16S ribosomal RNA". It matches the Rfam family "Bacterial small subunit ribosomal RNA", at positions 28 to 507 of the family's 1533-position model. The record is from RNAcentral.